This is a long non-coding RNA of Haliotis rubra (blacklip abalone), 106 nucleotides long. RefSeq lists it as uncharacterized. The record is from RefSeq and is a predicted model, not a curated record. The transcript has 3 exons. NCBI's taxonomy places the organism in Eukaryota, Metazoa, Mollusca, Gastropoda, Lepetellida, Haliotidae.
GGUAUCUCAGUUCCACCACAGCUUGUGUACCAAGAUAUCUCAUACUGUUGUACAGUUUUUAAGUUCAUGUACUCAACAAGAUAUUUCAUACUGUUGCAGAUAAGUU